AAGGAAAGUUGGCGAGAACAAUAAACUAGCUGUGACUUCUGUAUAUAUCAUGAGCAACAACUGAAACACAAUGAGGGCAAUAGGUGUGGAAGGAAGCAAACAGUAGAACAAAGUUGAAGAGCCACAAGUACUAUGGGUGAGCAGAAAAACAUCCCAGAGAGAGGUUGUCAUAGGAACUGUGCCAGAAGAGCAAGUUACUCAAUAGAAUGUACCAUCCAAAGAAGAGAGGAAGGAACUGAUCUUGAAGCAUCUUUUACCACCCAUUUUAGGGAACGAAUCUUUCAUGAAUCUCCUCAUGGAAAUUGUCUACAGUGACGGCAGGGUAAGUGAGAUACCAGCAGGCUAUGGGGCUGAUGAUAUAUAUAUAUACCUCAUAGGAUUUUUGUAGAAGAUUAAAAUAGGUAAAAUAUAUUAAAUACCUACUCUAUAAAGUCCCUGAGAUAUAUCAAUAAUAAAUAACAAUAAUCUUCACUAUCUUAUGUAACCCUCACUAGAGACCUCUGAGGAAGACACAAUCAUUAUUCAAAUUUUCCAGAUGAAUAAAUGAAGCACAAAGAAGGUGAAUUGUUCAAGGUCACAUGGAGGAGUUCAUAGCUGGAACUUCCUUACUAUACUUUCCCCAAAGUUUUGAGACCCUAUGUUAUGGGCUAAAUUUUGUCCUCUUCAAAGUUCAUAUGUUGGAGUCUGUUAAAGAGAAAAUUAUUCAUCCAAAUCAUUCAUUAAGAAACACUAAGAAUUGGGGCGCCUGGGUGGCUCAGUGGGUUAAAGCCUCUGCCUUCGGCUCAGGUCAUGAUCUCAGGGUCCUGGGUUUGAGCCCCGCAUCAGGCUCUCUGCUCAGCGGGGAGCCUGCUUCUUUCUCUCUCUCUGCCUGCCUCUCUAACUACUUGUGAUCUGUCUCUGUCAAGUAAAUCAAUAAAAUCUUUAAAAAAAAAAAAACACUAAGAAUUGAUUCAGAGGACUAUCAAAAUAGGUAUAGGGGCCCAUAAAAUGUGGGUGGGGAGGGGCCUAUAGUAGGGGAGAAAGAUUGGACUCAAAUUCAAAUACAAAGAAAAAUGGAAAUUUGUAGCCACAAACCAGGGUUGGGGAUCCGGGGACAGAAAAUUACUAAGAUGAAACAUUAUAGGUAAGGGAGGAUUCUGUCUAAAAAAAACCUGAUAGGAUUCUUGCUCAAGUUAGGUGAGGGAGGUUAGAUAUCAUCUGGGGAAAGGUAGAUCAUGAGGUACCCAAUCAGAUAUUGAGGGUGAUCAGAUAUCAAAUAUGGGAGUUUCUUGUUAAACUGACUUAGCAGGAUUCUUGCUAGAAAUAGUCUACAAGGAAGUCUACAUGGGAACCCAAGGUCAGGCCUAGUGAAAAAGGGAGCUCAGAAAAGCAUGACCAAAGUUUGAUCAAGGUGAGAAUCUUUGUGAAAUCCUACCCCCUCCUUUAGUACCUAAGAAUGUGACAGUAAUUAGAGAUAUGACCCUUAAAGAGAUGAUUAAGGUAAAAUGAGGUCAUUUGUGGUGUCCUUAUAAGAAGAGGAGGUGCAAAGACAGACACCCAUGGAGUGAGGAUCAGGGGAAGACACCAGAGGAAGACAGCCAUCUAGAAGCCAAGGAGAAAAGCCUUUAGAAGGAACCAACCCCACUAACACUUUGAUCUUAAGAGUUCCAGCCUCCAGAACGAGGAGGAAAUAACUUGCUGUUGUAUAAGCCAUUCUGUCAGUGGUACUUUGUUAUGGCAGCCCUAGCAAAUUAAGACACCCUUCAGUGAGCUUAGCAUCUUGAACUUUAUUCGAACCUGUGUCAUCUCUUUGUCUUGGCCUCUCUACUCUUGGCAUUCUGUGGCUGUGUCUGUUUCAUUGUAGUUAAGCACCAGGUGUGGAAUGUGAACCUCUGUGUAAAAUGGCACAGCUUUCCUCUGGAAAGGGCUCUGUAAAGACUCAAUCCAGGAAAAUUAACCAAGGUAUGUGGUGCUUUCUUUUCUGUUUUAUGCCUGUCUCCUCCCACUUAACCAGAGUGGAUGUUCCUCAGUGUAAAGACCACGGUGUACUCAUCUCUAGAUGCAAGUUCUUACAGGACUGCACUGCCAUUAAUUUUUUAUGUAUUUAUUUACCACCUUCACCCCACCCCUAGUUAAUUUCUAAAUUCACAGACACUAAGAUUGUGCCUAUGAAUUAUUCAUUUCUGUAUUCCCUACAAUUCCUUGUUCAAAGUAGGCACUAAUUUAUUUUUGGAUUUUUUGACUGGGGAAUACACACACACACACACACACACACACACACACACAGAGUAUACAUUAUAAUAUGUAUAUAAUCUUUCUUCUUUAUCUCUGAUGAGGAGAUUUUUGUAAUA
RNAcentral lists this long non-coding RNA (2330 nucleotides) under Mustela putorius furo (domestic ferret). RNAcentral's name for it is "lncRNA (ENSMPUG00000031801.1)". Lineage: Eukaryota; Metazoa; Chordata; Mammalia; Carnivora; Mustelidae. The record is from RNAcentral.